Acanthosepion pharaonis is the source of this 111-nucleotide non-coding RNA. Lineage: Eukaryota; Metazoa; Mollusca; Cephalopoda; Sepiida; Sepiidae. The record is from the annotation of a GenBank genome assembly.
CAGCCACAUCAUAUUGAAACACUAGUUCCCGUACGAUCACUGAAGUUAACCAACGUCAAGCUUGGUUAGUACUUAGACGGGUGACCACUUGGAAAUGCCAGUUGCUGUAAG